AGAUCAACGAAGAAAAAACACUGGCAUUAAACUAGUUUAAUAUACCACUAGACUAUGUCAAUCGCUGCAACAAAUGGUUAAUAACCAGAGUAGACUUAUAAAAGGCCCCCUUAAUUGUAUCUCAUGCAAGAAAAUAAGGGCAAUCUUCCUACAAAAACAUCAAAAAAAUCCACAUAAUACAACAUGAAUGAUGAAGCAAUGACAACUUUAAUUUAAGGGAAGAAAU
Molecule: unclassified non-coding RNA, 226 nt
Filed under: Hevea brasiliensis (rubber tree)
Lineage: Eukaryota; Viridiplantae; Streptophyta; Magnoliopsida; Malpighiales; Euphorbiaceae
Source: RNAcentral